RNAcentral lists this transfer RNA (89 nucleotides) under Deinococcus wulumuqiensis. Its description in RNAcentral is "tRNA-Phe". Lineage: Bacteria; Thermotogati; Deinococcota; Deinococci; Deinococcales; Deinococcaceae. The record is from RNAcentral.
CGGGCGUCUACGGCGGUGGUCAGGUCGGCGGGCGUAAAGGGCUUGGGCAGGUAGUCGUCGGCGCCCAGGUUCAUGCCCCGGCGCACGUC